GGGAAUCUACCUUUUGCUACGGAAUAACUCAGGGAAACUUGUGCUAAUACCGUAUGUGCCCCCCUUUAAAAUUUCAGGAUACAUAAAAUGCCCUGGCAUUUUAUGGGGGGGAAAGAUUUAUCGGCAAAGGAUGAGCCCGCGUUGGAUUAGCUAGUUGGUGGGGUAAAGGCCCACCAAGGCGACGAUCCAUAGCUGGUCUGAGAGGAUGAUCAGCCACACUGGGACUGAGACACGGCCCAGACUCCUACGGGAGGCAGCAGUGGGGAAUAUUGGACAAUGGGCGCAAGCCUGAUCCAGCCAUGCCGCGUGAGUGAUGAAGGCCCUAGGGUUGUAAAGCUCUUUCACCGGUGAAGAUAAUGACGGUAACCGGAGAAGAAGCCCCGGCUAACUUCGUGCCAGCAGCCGCGGUAAUACGAAGGGGGCUAGCGUUGUUCGGAUUUACUGGGCGUAAAGCGCACGUAGGCGGACUUUUAAGUCAGGGGUGAAAUCCCAGAGCUCAACUCUGGAACUGCCUUUGAUACUGGAAGUCUUGAGUAUGGUAGAGGUGAGUGGAAUUCCGAGU
This 562-nucleotide ribosomal RNA is filed under the name uncultured bacterium. Its description in RNAcentral is "bacterial SSU rRNA". It matches the Rfam family "Bacterial small subunit ribosomal RNA", at positions 120 to 674 of the family's 1533-position model. The record is from RNAcentral.